This 468-nucleotide ribosomal RNA is filed under the name uncultured bacterium. RNAcentral describes it as "partial 16S ribosomal RNA". It matches the Rfam family "Bacterial small subunit ribosomal RNA", at positions 28 to 507 of the family's 1533-position model. The record is from RNAcentral.
GACGAACGCUGGCGGCGUGCUUAACACAUGCAAGUCGAACGGAAAGGCCCUGCUUUUGUGGGGUGCUCGAUUGGCGAACGGGUGAGUAACACGUGAGUAACCUGCCCUUGACUUUGGGAUAACUUUAGGAAACUGGGGCUAAUACCGGAUAGGAGCUCCUGCUGCACGGUGUGGGUUGGAAAGUUUCGGCGGUUGGGGAUGGACUCGCGGCUUAUCAGCUUGUUGGUGUGGUAGUGGAUUACCAAGGCUUUGACGGGUAGGCGGCCUGGGAGGGUGACCGGCCACAUUGGGACUGAGAUACGGACCAGACUCCUACGGGAGGCAGCAGUGGGGAAUAUUGCGCAAUGGGCGGAAGCCUGAUGCAGCAACGCCGCGUGCGGGAUGACGGCCUUCGGGUUGUAAACCGCUUUCGCCUGUGACGAAGCGUGAGUGACGGUAAUGGGUAAAGAAGCACCGGCUAACUACGUG